UACGUAUGGGGCAAGCGUUAUCCGGAUUUACUGGGUGUAAAGGGAGCGCAGACGGAACUGCAAGUCUGAUGUGAAAGCCCGGGGCUCAACCGCGGGACUGCAUUGGAAACUGUAGAUCUGGAGUGCCGGAGGGGCAAGCGGAAUUCCUGGUGUAGCGGUGAAAUGCGUAGAUAUCAGGAGGAACACCGGCGGCGAAGGCGGCUUGCUGGACGGCAACUGACGUUGAGGCUCGAAAGCGUGGGGAGCAAACAGGAUUAGAUACCCU
RNAcentral lists this ribosomal RNA (265 nucleotides) under uncultured prokaryote. Its description in RNAcentral is "partial 16S ribosomal RNA". It matches the Rfam family "Bacterial small subunit ribosomal RNA", at positions 524 to 788 of the family's 1533-position model. The record is from RNAcentral.